This 203-nucleotide long non-coding RNA is filed under the name Sorghum bicolor (sorghum). RNAcentral describes it as "long non-coding RNA (SBIC_LNC007588)". The record is from RNAcentral. Lineage: Eukaryota; Viridiplantae; Streptophyta; Magnoliopsida; Poales; Poaceae.
CAUGGACGGUAGUGGUAAUGUUAACCCGAAACCCGAAACGGAGAGGCGCGGUUGGGGGGUGGCAGACGGACAUAGAGCGAGACAGCGAGUGAGUGAGCGUGGUGAUGAUGGGGAUGCGUAUAGGUGAUAGGUUUUGGCCCUCGGUGGCUCAUCAAGAGAGAUGAACAUGGAUGGAGAAAAUAAGUAUUUAGAUGUGAACAUGG